CACGGGGGGAGCAAGCGUUGUUCGGAAUCACUGGGCGUAAAGAGCGUGUAGGCGGUUAGGUAGGUCCGUUGUGAAAACUCGAGGCUCAACCUCGAGACGCCGAUGGAAACCAUCUAACUAGAGUCCGGAAGAGGAGAGUGGAAUUCCUGGUGUAGCGGUGAAAUGCGCAGAUAUCAGGAAGAACACCCGUGGCUAAGGCGGCUCUCUAGUACGUGACUGACGCUGAGACGCGAAAGCGUGGGGAGCGAACAGG
Molecule: ribosomal RNA, 253 nt
Filed under: uncultured bacterium
Lineage: Bacteria
Description: partial 16S ribosomal RNA
Rfam family: Bacterial small subunit ribosomal RNA
Source: RNAcentral